Macadamia integrifolia is the source of this 4790-nucleotide long non-coding RNA. RefSeq lists it as uncharacterized. Lineage: Eukaryota; Viridiplantae; Streptophyta; Magnoliopsida; Proteales; Proteaceae. The record is from RefSeq and is a predicted model, not a curated record. The transcript has 4 exons.
UUCUUAGUUAUGUGUAUGCUGUGGUGGAAUACUGUAUCAGAUGAUCCUGGCAGGUUUGGGUUAACCGGUGUUAACCCGGUCAUUGGCCCGGUUCUGUGCAACUCCCUGCAGGUUCCAGGAUUCAUCCUGUCUUCCAUGUGUCCAUGCUUAAACCAUUCAAAGGGAUCCUUACCACUUAUGAGGAGGCACUUGAAUUACCUACUGGCAGUGUGGACAACCAACCUAAGUUUGAACCAUUAGCCAUUGUUGGUGAAAGAAGGGUUCGAAGACAAGGGACAUGGGUAUCCCAAUGGCUAGUACAGUGGAAAAUUUUACCUUUGGAAGAAGCUUCUUGGGAGGAUGGUGCUGAAUUCAAGAAAUUGCAUCCAUCUAUACACCUCGAGGACAAGGAGUUUUUUAAUGGUAGAGGGAAUGAUACAGGUAAGAAGGAUAUUCCACAUGGGGAUGAAAAUAUAGAAGAUUCUAGGUCUAAGAGAAGCAUCAAGAAACCCAGCUGGCUGAGAGAUUUUGAAGCUUAAGGUGGUGGGUUAACCCAAUUGAUGAUUAGUUAGAAAAGGGGUCAACUAGUUGGGUUAAUUAGUUGGGUUAAUUGAUUGAUUUGUUGUAACUAAUUCUGUUGUGCUGUAACAGAAUUAUUCUUUCUGGUUUUCUCUUCUUCUUCUUAUCUCUGACAUUUCUGGAGUUUUCAGUUCUUUAACUCGAAUCAAGAGCAGAGCAGGCUUGAGUUGUAUCACUCUUCUUCUAACGAUAGUGCAAAUCUCUGGGUUAAUUCUCAAGUUUCUUGUAUAAUCCACUGAUAUCUGAUGCUGUAGUCUCAUCCAUGCUUACUGAAAGCCAAGAAGGUCUUUGUUGGAAGAGUGGUAAAAUGAUGUUGUCAGUGGGCAUUCUUUCUAAUGGUUCAUGUUCAGGAUUAUUAUACCUGGAUCUGAGUUGCCAGUGGGUCGUAAUUCUUGUAUAGCAGUUAGUAACUUGCGGACUGAUGGCGCAUUGACUGGUUAAAGUUGUCUUACUAUAUGGUUUUUAAUAUUUUGGUAUCUUCUGAUUAACUAUGUCUGACCUGCUGGUCAAACUAGAUUGUUCCAGCCGGCCCCUUUCUGGUUUGGCAUUGGAGUAUCCUUAUUCUUGCUAAAAUUGAACUCUUCUGCAAUAUAUACCACAAUCUUUGCAUCUUACUCUUAAAAAUCUGAGUCUUUUAGGUUUGAGUUAAAAUCUGUGAAUUGUAUCUCACAUGUUCCUUGAAAUUUCUUGGUACUUGAGUAACUAUUGAUCAUAUGACAUUGUCAUUCUUCUAAUCAGUCAGUGCUCCUACGUAAUUCCUGGACUUUCACUUAAUAUGGCCUAUUUGUAGUUGAUUUGCUAGGUGAAUCUCCCUAUUGAGUGUGGUCACUGUUUAUGCUCUCAAGAAUCUCAGCAGUGGUUGUUUAAUACUUAUUUCCACUUGUUAGCCAGUGAUUUUAUCAUAUCAAACACAUUCCAAGUUCUUGUUUUCAUUUGAUUCUUCUUAAUCACAUUCUUGUUUAAGGAUUGGGUCCUUAGGGAUAAUCCCAACUCAUUUGUGUCUACUAUAAUAAAUCAUAAGGAUGGUAUUAAGGGAGGCAAAUUUAGCAAAAAGAUAAUACCAAUAUCUGAGAAAAAUGAGUUCAUUCUUUUCAUUGAUUUGGGAUAUUUUUAUGCUAAUAUUUAUUUGAAUCCUUAAGAAAAAAAUAUUUUAUAACUUAUAUGUUCAAGAAAUAUAUAUAUAUAUAUAUAUAUAUUUUGGGUACUAUAAUAAUGUCUGGAGCUUGCACCAUCUAAAUGGUUCUGGAUCUCGGGUUUGGAACUGAUUAGCUCAUUGAUUCAAUUCUGGUCCGGAUUCCUUAGGAUCGAAACAAUUAAAAGACUGAACCAAAUGCCCAAAACCGGACCCAUUUACACCCCCCUCUCUCCCAUUCGGCAAAAUCAACUCUUCACUUGUUAGAUAUAAUAAUCCAUGUUUGAAAUAUCCACCACAGGCAAUGGGGUAGACUAUAUUCCAUAAAAAAAAGUGGGGGAGGGGGGUGGGGGUAGUACUAGACUCCUUUUUUCUUUUAGACAUUUUAUUGGUUUUACUAUUUAAGGGAAGAACUGAUGGGGACAUCAAACUAUUCUUGUAUGGUUAGGACCCUAGUUUCAAGUAGAGCCCAGUGCAGCUACUGAUUACACCUUUGUUUCCUAUGGACAACAUCAUUUUCUUAGUUGGACUUAUGGCUAUAGAAGCUUACAGUGGGUGGUAGGAAAUACUAAACCCUCUUCAUCUACCAUAUGCUAUAGCCAAGUUAAGCUUAGUUGAGGUACUGUCUAGAUUAUGCUGAGUCAAAAGCCGGGGUGACCUCUUCAUCUACAUGGGUUGAUUUUCAAUUUCCAAAUUUGUGGGUAAUAUGAUGACACAGUGCCAAUUGUCCCCUAAGGGUUUGUCUAAGAUUGAUACCCCAUGAUUGAUGUCAUUUAGGUUGGCAUCAAAUUCCCAAGCAGCCGGCAAACAUGUGUGGGUCUAUAUGUGCAAGUUAUCUUCUACUCCAUCUCUGUUUCUGUCAAACCUACUUUGUCUCAUGGGAAGGGUUCCAUAAAGCCAAGGAGAUUGUCUUACCCUAAUGCUCAAAAACCUGCUGAAGAGAAGGCAAAUGCUAAGGUAUCAAGCAUGUCUGGUUCUGAAACUGAAGAAACAAACACCAAGCAAGAGCCAUUAUCUCACUGAAGAACAGAGCUGGAGUAGAAAGAAGAGUUGUUUCUUUGAUCCUGCUUUCUAAUUGGAGGUGAGUGAUUAAAAAACAAAAAGGUGAUUUUAUUUUUUUGGGUGAUGUGUAGUAAUAUGUUUGUUGUGCAGUGUGCAGAAAAAACGAAGUUAGAAUUGGUACUCUCUUAAGCUUCUGUCAUGCAGCAAGAAGUUUAGUUGAUGCAAUUUCAGUAGUUUAUUGAAGGAAUUCAUAAAAUGAUGCAAGUUUGACAUUUCAACAUAUUUAUAUAAUAUUUAUGAAGCCUUGUUUUUUUUUUUUUUUCCGAAGCAAAGGGUGGUUUGAAUUUUCUGUUUCUGGUUGGUUUGCGUUAUCUGAUCUGAUUCAUACUUUUACGCACAGGAAGGAUAUCUUGGAUCUGAAUUUCAACUGUGAAAAUGUCAGGCUAAUAAUUGAUCAAUUGGAAAUAUGCACUGGUCCUGCACCCAUUUUUUUGAACCGCUGCAGCUUCUUGAUGAUGUAUCUCGCAUGGCUAGUCUGAAUAGUGUGGGAAGCAUGAGUGCCUUGGCCCUUCAAGCUGUGGCUGGACCAUAUAUGUGGAAUAGCCAGUGGUCUUUGGCUAUCCAGCACAUUGCUCAUGGAACCCUUUCUCUUGUAUGAAAGCAACCUAUCCCCUUGCAGUAGCUUUUCUGGAGAUAAUACGUUUCAAUAGCAAUGGCGGCAUCCUUAACGGCAGUUCUAGUUUCAGUGCCUCAAGAAGUGCAUUCAGCUGUGUAUUUGAAUACCUUGAAACUCCAAAUCUAAUGUCAGCUGUCUCUCAGUGUUUGAUUGCAAUUGCAUGUCCAUAGGGCUUCCGAAACAGCAGUGUCAUGGCUGGUAUUUACUUCUAUCUAAUUAGGCUCUACUUGAACUUGUCCUUUAGCCUGCUUAGGUCUGGGAAUUGUGGAAUGUAUCCAUAUGUAUACAUAUUCUCAUUCUUGUUAUCUUGUAGAUAGGCAAGACCUUUGUAUGCAUUUGAAGUUAUAAGAAUAACUUCGCUAAUUCAGGAACCCCAGCCCUUACGUCAAGAGGAUUUGUUGAAGAGGAUUUUGUCAAAGUAUCUGAAUAUUUUGACACUGCUGUGAAGUUGGCAGUAAAGAUCAAGUCUGAAUAUGACUUCUUUUUUUUUUUACAUGUUGACCUGCAGCCCAAAUGUGUGUAUGUAAAGGUGGUAAAAUUUACUGAGAAAAUUUUACUUCAUGUUACGGGUUUUCACAUGUCAGGGACAAAGUUGAAGGACUUCGUGGCUACAAUCCAGACUCGUGAAGACAUCCAAUCUGAAAUUUCAAAACUUUGCCAUGAUGUUGAGGAGUAUGCAAAGAAAUUCCCAACAAUUGGGUUUGAGAAAGAAACAAUGAAGUACAAAGUCUGAGGGAAACCGAAAUAUCUUUUUCUGUUAGCUGUAAGUGAUCUUUCUAGAUCAGUUGCCGUACCUCUAAUUUUCUGAAGUGGCAUGGUGAGAGUCAAAUCCUGGUUUCCUUAUCAAGGUGAUGAUAAACAUUUUUUACUUGUGAAAAUGAUCUCAAGUUUGAUCAUCUCCUGUUUCUUUUUGAAUUAAUGCAGCUAAGUAUGCUGCUAUAUUGGCAAAGGACAGUGUAUUGGCGAUUGGCCUAUAUUUAUAUAACAUGGCAAAGAAAGAUUCAGAAUCUCAUUUGCACAGAAUCCAUUUCUCACUAUAUCUCAUUCAUGUUUCUGUAGAACAUUGAAAUGGCAGUGAAAACUGUAACUCAAAGAUCCCCUGGAAUUAAUGCAGCCGGUUGAAAAAUGAAGCCUUUUGCAUAUGGUCAUGAAGGAUGAAAGAUUGUAGAGCUUUUGGCUAUGAUAUCAAGCGGAACAUUUCGUUGAAAUUUUCUAAAUGGAACUGUGUACAUAUUAUUUACUAAUGGUCCGCAAUAUAAACUGGCCUUGAAUUAUGAAGUAUAUCUAUGAUAUGUGUUUGCCAUGAGUAGGUUCAGGACAUUGUGUCUCUUGCUUUCAUCCUGGCAAUUGAACAAGCACUGAGAGUUUGGUGUAUAUUGUACAUUGAGAAAUAAAUUGUAUAUUCUAUUUUCUUUUCGUGGA